This 406-nucleotide ribosomal RNA is filed under the name uncultured bacterium. RNAcentral's name for it is "bacterial SSU rRNA". It matches the Rfam family "Bacterial small subunit ribosomal RNA", at positions 356 to 774 of the family's 1533-position model. The record is from RNAcentral.
GGGGAAUAUUGCACAAUGGGCGCAAGCCUGAUGCAGCAACGCCGCGUGAGGGACGACGGCCUUCGGGUUGUAAACCUCUUUUGGCAGGGAAGAAGCGAAAGUGACGGUACCUGCAGAAAAAGCACCGGCUAACUACGUGCCAGCAGCCGCGGUGAUACGUAGGGUGCAAGCGUUGUCCGGAAUUAUUGGGCGUAAAGAGCUCGUAGACGGUUUGUCGCGUCUGCUGUGAAAACCCGAGGCUCAACCUCGGGCCUGCAGUGGGUACGGGCAAACUAGAGUGCGGUAGGGGAGAUUGGAAUUCCUGGUGUGGCGGUGGAAUGCGCAGAUAUCAGGAGGAACACCGGUGGCGAAGGCAGAUCUCUGGGCCGUAACUGACGCUGAGGAGCGAAAGCAUGGGGAGCGAACA